RNAcentral lists this long non-coding RNA (826 nucleotides) under Aotus nancymaae (Ma's night monkey). RNAcentral's name for it is "lncRNA (ENSANAG00000039478.1)". The record is from RNAcentral. Lineage: Eukaryota; Metazoa; Chordata; Mammalia; Primates; Aotidae.
AGUGGAAAGUCCGAAUUGGGGAAACUCGCCCUGUGUGGGUGGUCCUUGAAAAGGAGGAUCUCCACCUCCAGUGUGUGAAGGGAUGGCCGUAACCAAAUAAGGACUUCGUUCCCCGACGGCUGCGGAAGCUGUGGAGCUUGGUACACUCCAAUUUCCAGUUUCUGUGAAAACUCAGUAGAGAGAUAAAUGUUGUUUUCAUCAAGUGUAUGUAGCGGCUAUUAUUUCUUCCUGAAAAACAAACAAGCAAGCACACAAUCCAAUGAGGAAGAAUGGAAUAAAGCUCUGUAUCAGUCAGGGUUCAACAGAAACAGUAUGUAUAUUAUACAUAUACUAAGAGACUUAAAGAAUAGACUUUAUACAAUUGUAGGGGUGGCAAGUCCAGAAUUUGUAGGGCAAGUAAUCUGGCAGCCUAGAAACUGAGGCAGAAGUUGAUGUUUCAGUCUUGUGGAAUUUCUUCUUCUCCAGGAAACCUCAGUUUUCUGUUCUUAAGACCUUCAGCUGAUUGGAUAAGGGCCCCCCACUUAUCAAGGGUAGCUGCUUAAUUUAAAGUCAGCUGAUUGUAGAUGUUAACAAUAUCUACAAAAUACCUUCACAGCAACACCUAGAUUAGUGUUUGACUAAAUAACUGGGAUUAACUAACAAUCACGGUUACCUGUUGUGGUAACCAUGUUGGAGGAAACAAGUCUGGAAGUUUUUCAGAUGUAACCCAAUCUGCCCAAGAAUGGCUGGGGAAAGGAGAUGGAACAGAUGUCAUCUCUUGUCCUUCCCUCCAGACAUCCUCAACACCAUUUCCCCACUGCUUGUGCAGCCAUGGGGGUGAGCAAAG